UUCCAACUUAGGACCAACCAGAGGAAGCCAGAUAUGCUCCUUCCACUGCACCACUUGCACUUCUAUGGAGCAAGCCUCAAGUGCCUUCAGUAGCCCAGCAAGCAGGACACCAGUGAGAGACUGGGAUUUUCCUUUCUAAUCUAAAUUCACCAUGAUUUCAACGAAGUACAAGGUGUCCUAAAAGCUGAAAAUGCUGAGGUUCUUCUCACUUGAUCAGAGGGAGGACUCCACGCUCUCUACCCUUGAAGAGCAGGUACGUCAGGUGCUCUGAAGAUCAGUUAAUUGUACCCAACAUCACCCCUGAGAGCUUAACUAUACCAUGUCCAAGACAAUGUGGAGGUUGCAGAUAAAGGCCAGUCCUCCUUCUGGGCAGAGAAGACAUGUUUGUAUUGUUCUCCUUGAAAUAUGUUAUUUUAUGUGAGGGAGAACAUUUCCCCAGAACGUAUUCCAUGACAGGGGCUAAAAAGCCUUUAUGCUAUUCAUUUUCAAUAACUUCAUUCCAGAUACACACAAAUCAGAUUGCACUGCUCAAAAGGUUCUUCUGUUAAAAUCUAACAUAAAGGAAUUUAUCUUAACUGUCAUUUCAAAUUUUCAUUUUUUUCUGGCAAAAGUUUUAGAUUAUAAAGAAAAAUAUUUUUUUUCCUAAUGUUAACUGGGUUUAUUGUCUGAUGUAUUUUUUAAGUCACAGCAUACUUGGUGCUACAUGACCUGAGGGGAAAAGAAAAAAUUAAUCUUUUAAACUAUAUCAUCUGAGGGGUAUGGAAGAAUAAACUACCCCUGAAGAUUUUAAAAUAUCAAAUUCUUAAGGAAAGCAUGAUCCUUACCAUUGGAGGUAAACAGAAAUCGCUUGUCUGACAGGGAACCACUGAAAUAAUAAACACAAAGAUGAGGAGGUUAGUUGCUUAACUGGAUCUUAAUGACUGGUACAGCGCUAUAGGAUGGGGCUCAGAGCCUUCCCACACCCCAUGAGGUCCUCAGAGCACCCGGCAAGGCUACUGUUAUUAUCUCUGUCAUUGGUAUUUCAUAGACCAAGAAACUCAGGCCCUUCGAAGGUAAGUACCUUUCCUAAAUUCAUAGAGGUGACAGGCAGCCAGGACUCUUGAGAUACUGCUUUUGAGUCACAAUCCUGUGCUGUUUCCAUCACGACACACUGUAUUGGGAAGGAACAGGCACAUAUACAGUCUCCAGGACACACUUAAAUCCCAAUUAAUGACUACGUAGUGAUGGAGACAGAAAGGAUGACUGCCCUGAACACUUCCUUUGCUUCAGAAGGCACCCCUACAGUGCCCCACUCGCUUCAACAAUCAAGGACCACUGAGACAUGAAGAUGCCUGAUCACUUUUAAAAGAACGAGCAAGUCAGUCUAGCUGCCUUUCCUACAGACUUCUCCACUCCUUCCCUGAGGGGUCCUGCCCCAGCAGCGUCGCUCCGCAGAGAGCCUCCGCCCGGGUCUCUCUCUCUCCAGUCACACUCCUACCUACUGCAGCAAGGACACCAAACCAUGAACCAGCUCCUGCUUCUGGAUGACAAGGUGCAGCUGGAGAAAACUCAGAGCACCUCACUGACGGGUCCUGAACUGCUGCAAGACAAGCCUGCACAUCUGGCAUUGAUCCCUGGGCCUCUGGACCCCCCAGUUCUGUACCUUGUAUUACUCUCCUGGUGAACUUAUCAAAUCAGCCCUGCUCGGCAGUUGUCUCCUUCUGCGGAAAAGAGGUUCCUAAGGCCUGAGAUCACAUGUAUCUUUUUGUAAAUCCCUCACCAACUCAAUGCUGUAACAAUAUGUAGAACGAAUAGAAAACUUGGAAUUCUCAAGAUUAAUCUUAUAGGCAUCGUACUUACUACAUUAGAUAUUACAGGUAAA
Aethalodelphis obliquidens (Pacific white-sided dolphin) is the source of this 1861-nucleotide long non-coding RNA. RefSeq lists it as uncharacterized. The record is from RefSeq and is a predicted model, not a curated record. The transcript is spliced from 2 exons. NCBI's taxonomy places the organism in Eukaryota, Metazoa, Chordata, Mammalia, Artiodactyla, Delphinidae.